RNAcentral lists this ribosomal RNA (465 nucleotides) under uncultured bacterium. RNAcentral describes it as "partial 16S ribosomal RNA". It matches the Rfam family "Bacterial small subunit ribosomal RNA", at positions 339 to 795 of the family's 1533-position model. The record is from RNAcentral.
CUACGGGUCGCUCCAGUGGGGAAUAUUGGACAAUGGGGGAAACCCUGAUCCAGCAAUGCCGCGUGUGUGAAGAAGGCCUGCGGGUUGUAAAGCACUUUCGGUUGGGAGGACUGCUUCUAGCACUAAUAUUGUUGGAAGUUGACGUUACCUUCAGAAGAAGCACCGGCUAACUCCGUGCCAGCAGCCGCGGUAAUACGGAGGGUGCAAGCGUUAAUCGGAAUUACUGGGCGUAAAGCGCGCGUAGGCGGCUAGAUCAGUCGGGUGUGAAAGCCCCGGGCUUAACCUGGGAACUGCAUCCGAUACUGGCUAGCUUGAGUACAGGAGAGGAGAGUGGAAUUCCACAUGUAGCGGUGAUAUGCGUAGAUAUGUGGAGGAACACCAAUGGCGAAGGCAGCUCUCUGGCCUGAUACUGACGCUGGGGUGCGAAAGCGUGGGGAGCAAACAGGAUUAGAUACCCUUGUAGUC